ACGGAUUUUCAUAUUUAUUACUGGGGUGGUGCCAGAAAUUUUAGGGGGGUGAGCCGUGAGCAGGUGACUGAAGCAACACAAAGUGUCACCAAACCCCAGUAAGGUCUAUAUUCUAGGGGUGGAGCACUAGAGCCGUGAGGGGGAGUCUAGAGAGCAGAAAACAAAGUACCCCAGGAAACAUUUGAAAAAAAUCAUGAUUUCUAGCUUCGAAAGAAAGUUUUUUGAAGUUGUCAAUUUGUCAUAUCAAUGGAUUUGGCAUGUCCGAUUGUCUGUUGAGACUUGAGAGAGUUAAAGACUUAAAGUUAAAUGAACCUGUAAAAGUGUAAACCCAAUAGGCCAAUACACAAUAUGCUUUUACUUUUAUAAAGUCAUUGACAUUGUGUUGUUUGAAUCCGAGUACAAUUUAUGAUGCAACUCCGAUGUAAAUAACAUCUGGGGCGUAAAGAUUAAAUCUAGGCAAGUCUAUUUCCUAAAAGAAUUAAAAACUAAAAAUAUAGUGUUCGUAAAAAUUCCAAACGUUCCUUGCGUGCAAGCUAUUCGCAUGACAAGGCACUGCAAACUCUAUUCAGGGAAGAUAAUAGAGUUUCAAAACUUUACAAUUGUUCCAAUAAACCAGUGAAUGCAAGCAAG
Non-coding RNA from Paramuricea clavata, 630 nucleotides. NCBI's taxonomy places the organism in Eukaryota, Metazoa, Cnidaria, Anthozoa, Malacalcyonacea, Plexauridae. The record is from the annotation of a GenBank genome assembly.